GUUGAAAGAGGGUUUAUGAGCUCAAGCCCGGGCUUUAUGAGGCUUUAGUAACAGGUGUAUUUUGAUAAGCCACAAAUAUUUUGACAUGUCCCAAAACCAUAAUUCACUUCUAUCUCGAACUGAUAGCGCUGAAAUGCAACUGCACCAGAGUCACUGCGCACACAAAUCAAAUGAGUGCAGUACCAAAGACAAACAGCAGAGUGUGCACAUGAACUGGGAUGAAUAGCAAGUUGCAUGGGGGCACUGGCUCCUGGCUGAAGCCCUAUCAUUGUUCCACAUGCAUCCACUGAAACGUAAACCACUGUAGCAUCAGUGAACUUAACAGUAGUGAAAAGGAAUGUAUCCCUUCUUAUGGAAUUGCACCAUAAGUAUUUUAAAAGGACCUAAGGUAUGACAUAAAACAAACCACCACUAUCCAGGAAAUGGCAAUGUGUUGCAUUCUUUCAUGUGACAACGUUAAAUCAUAUCAGUUAGCAACAGGGUUGGGGUGAAUUCCAAUUUAAAGGGCCAGUGCAGUCAAAAACUAGAUUUAUCUGUGUUUUAUAUAUAUUUUCACACUAUGAGGUUGGAAUAAUACUAUGAAAUUUAGGAUAAUGCCCAUAUAGUGUAACAGCUGUUUGAAAAGACCACUUGUAAUUUCAGCUUGUUUGCAUGGGUGAGGUUUUUAGACCCCAUGGCAACAUCACCAGGUAAGUAGCAAGUAGCCUUGAACAAGCCAGAACGUCUCAUAGGGAAGGACCCUAUCUCCUGUUUCUAUAGCGUGAGGGAGCUUGAUAUACAAGUACACCCCCUGGACAUUAUGCCAGUCUAUCGCAGGGCAUUAUCCCCAAUCUAUCUCCUUAAUGCUGAGUGCCAAGCGGAGGUGCAUCUGGUCCCAUUUUUACAGUCUUGGUAUGACUUCAACCCUGGUAUAACUUGGCCAGGGAUUUAACUUUUAACAGUCUUGGUAUGAGUUCAAUCACUGGUAUAACUUGGCCAGGGAUUGAACUCACAACCUUCCAAUCUCAGGGCGGACACUUUUUACAGUCUUGGUAUGAGUUCAAUCCCUGGUAUAACUUGGCCAGGGAUUUAACUUUUAACAGUCUUGGUAUGAGUUCAAUCACUGGUAUAACUUGGCCAGGGAUUGAACUCACAACCUUCCAAUCUCAGGGCGGACACCACAAGGCCACCGAGUUUUUAAUUGACCAAUGUGACCCACCGCCUUGAUUCGGUCUUAUGUAGCAAAAAUAGAAAUUCAGUUUCUUACGUGGGAUAAAAGUAGAGUCUCAGAGCUAGAAAAUGGUAUAUCAUACACUGCAGUUGAGGAACAAUGGGAAAGUAAUUCUGCUUUGAAAGUUGAUAAACUUGUAACCCCACAUUUGAGAAAAUGCCCUUGAAUUAUUUGGUAAACCUACUGGAGAGCUCUUCUAGGUCUAUACCUAUGCAGCAUCGUUCACACCCUCUUAACUCUCAGCCCCACCCAUCUCUUUAAGGAUUCACAUGUGCUAAACAGAGUGAGUAAGGUAGUGUAGUAAACAACCAAAGAUUUCAAGAUGAGUAGUAGUCUACAAUAAGAAAAAAGUUGAGGUUCAAAUAUACUUCAUCUAGUCCUUGGCUUAUAUCCUAAUCUGACUUUGAAAGUGUCCAGAUAAAAAUAUUGUAUAAAUAUUUUCUAAUUAUUAGAUGAUGCUUACCCAGGCACUUGUCUAAUUGAUGGGUCAUGUGAAAGAAAUGAUAUAACCAUCCCCCAGCCACAUCUAGCUAGCUAGCUAGCAAAACAAUGAACCAUAUUCCCAACCCAAAGCUACAGUACAAAUGGAUUGCAAUAGCUAGCCAUGAAUGAAUCUGCAGGUAGCCAAAGCUAAACAACAAGGUUCAAUGUUAGUAUAGCUAGCUAACAUUAGGCUAUACAUCUUCUUCAGGAUUGGUGGGUCCCCUGUGGGACGGUUGAGCUAACGUAGGCUAAUACGAUUAACAUGAGGUUGUAAGAAACAAGAACAUUUCCCAGGACAUAGACAUAUCUGAUUUUGGCAGAAAGCUUAAAUUCCUGUUAAAAUGUAAAUUGCACCUGGGCUGGAAUAAUACAUUAUGGCCUUUCUCUUGCAUUUCAAAGAACAUGGUACAAAAAAAGACCAAAAAAGCGUUUGGUUUUUUCUUUGUAUUAUCUUUUACCAUAUCUAAUAUGUUAUAUACUCCUACAUUCAUUUCACAUUUCCACAAACUUCAAAGUGUUUCAUUUCAAAUGGUACCAAGAAUAUGCAUAUCCUUGCUUCAGGGCCUGAGCUACAGGCAGUUAGAUUUGGGUAUGUCAUUUUAUGCAAAAAUUGAAAAAAGGGGGCGAUUCCAAAUCAAAUCAAAUCAAAUUUUAUUUGUCACAUACACAUGGUUAGCAGAUGUUAAUGUGAGUGUAGUGAAAUGCUUGUGCUUCUAGUUCCGACCAUGCAGUAAUAUCUAACAAGUAAUCUAACCUAACAAUUUCACAACUACCUUAUACACACAAGUGUAAAGGAAUGAAUAAGUAUAUGUACAUAAAAAUAGAUGAAUGAGCGAUGGCCAAACGGUAUAGGCAAGAUGCAGUAGAUGGUGUAGAGUACAGUAUAUACAUAUGAGAUGAGUAAUGUAGGGUAUGUAAAGAUUAUAUAAAGCGGCAUUGUUUAAAGUUGCUAGUGAUACAUUUAUUACAGCAAUUUCUAAUUAUUAAAGUGGCUAGAGAUGAGUCAGUAUGUUGGCAGCAGCCACUCAAUGUUAGUGAUGGCUGUUUAAUGACUGUGAUAGGAGAAAACUGACAAUGGAUCAAAACAUUGUAUUUACUCCACGAUACUAACCUAAUUGACAGAGUGAAAAGAAGGAAGCAUGUACUGAAUAAAAAUAUUCCAAAAUAUGCAUCCUGUUUGCCACAAGGCAAUAAAGUAAUACUGCAAAAAAUAUGGCAAAGCAAUUACAAUUUUGUCCAGAAUACAACGUGUUAUGUUUGUGGCAAAUCCAAAACAGCACAUCACUGAGUACCACUCCAUGUUUCAAAGCAUGGUGGUGGCUGCAUCAUGUUAUGGGUAUUUAUGUAAUUGUUAAGGGCUUGGGAGUUUUCAGGAUAAAAGAAACAGAAUGGAGCUAAGCACAGGCAAAGUCCUAUCUGCUUUCCACCAGAUACUGGGCGAUGAAUUCACCUUUCAGUCGGACAAUAACCUAAAACAAAAGGCCAAAUAUACUGUUAAGGUUCCUGAGUGGCCGAUUUUGAAAAUCUAUGGCAAGACUUGAAAAAUAGUUGUCUAGCAAUGAUCAACAACCAAUUUGACAGAGCCUGAAGAUUUAUGAAAAUAAUAAUGGGCAAGUAUUGUACACUCCUGAUGUGCAAAACUCUUGGAGACUUACCCAGAAAGUCUCACAGCAGUAAUCAAUGCCAAAGGUGAUUCUAACAUGUAUUGAGUCUUUAUUUAAUUACAUUUUUAAUUGUCUAAAACCAUGUUUUCACUUUGUCAUUAUGGGGUAUUGUGUAUAGAUGUUUGAGAAAAAAAAAGUAAUCAAAUUUGAAUUCAGGCUGUAACAACAAAAUGUGGAAUAAGUCAAGGUGUAUGAAUACUUCCUGAAGGUGUAGUAGGUUUAGGCUACUACAUGAUACUCGAAUUUGCCCUAUACCCAUCAUGAGGUUACUACAACCUAGACUAAAAUGUAGGUGCACAGGUCGAGACACAAAUGUGAGUAAUUAAGGUGACAGUUAGUGACACAUUCAAUACCACCUUGUACACUUGUCACGUCCUGACCAGUAAAGGGGUUAUUUGUUAUUGUAGUUUGGUCAGGACGUGGCAGGGGGUGUUUGUUUUAUGUGAGUGUUCAGGGGUUUUGGUUAAUGUUCAGCUGUUCCUCGUUGCCUAUGAUUGAAGGUCCUAUGUAUAGGGGUGUUUUGGUAAUGGGAAUUGUGGGUAGUUAUUUCUUGUUUAGUGUAUGUAGCACCUGACGGGACUGUUUAGUGUCGGUCGGUCGGUCGGUCGGUCGUUUUUGUAUACGUGUUUCUUUUAGUUUUUUCCUUCUUUUAUAAUAAAUAAGAAGAUGAGUAUAGGUUUUCCCGCUGCACCUUGGUCCAUUACAUACGACGACCGUUACAACACUAUUGCAUGCAUCCAGCUGAUCUGGGGUGUAAUCAUUAGUCCAAACAUAAACGAGUUUCUAUUGGACAAUUUCAGGUAGGUCCCUCCCCAUUUUGUUAAUUUUCUUCCAUUCAAAAAAUGUUCUGCAACAGAAUUGGUGGAAUGAAUACACCCCUGAUCACCCGCACACACAGUCAGUUCACUUUCAUUGCAGCCACAUACAGCAUCAUCACUUUGCACAUUGCAUAAUUCCUUCUCACAUCUAUGCACUCUCCUAUUCUCACCUUUUCCCUUAGCUUGAGGACUUCAGUGCACAACACAACAACUGUCUGUGACCAGUUGAAAAAACCUCUCCAAGCCAAACAUUCAUGCCAUAACCGCUAACCGCUACACAGCCUACAUCGUUGUCAUCAUAUUAACUGUACAUAGUGUAAAAUAUUUAAACUGGAUGACUUGACUGCUAUGAAUACAUUUACUAUGCUGUCUCUUUUUAAACAGCUGUGCCAAACAUUGUCAACUCAACAGCUACCACUGCUCGGACUGUCAUAACAACAAUAGCAGUAACAACUCUCACAGCUAAUACUGCAGCUUCAAAAACCACCAGCAGUGCAAUAGCAAGGAGCAGACCACUGGAUGUGGUGACAGUUUUGAUACUCAUCACUGCAUCCUGUUCCAAAAUGUUGGUUGGACUUUGCUAACGUAGAUCUCUACAUUACUCCCUUUUUGUUUUAAAUGCCCUUCUUCAUAAAAACAUCUUUCUUAUCUAACUUUGCUGUUGAAGUAUAGAGACCUGAGUUGCCUAACACAUACACGGCAUUAGUUAACCUUUGAGGUGCCUAGGGUCUCCACCGAGCUAGGUAAAUCUGAUUUUAGUUUAAAAGCACUGUAUUGCUGGAAAAUUCUAAAUACAUUUCAUCUUAGUUUUCUGGUGGCGUUUGGGCAGUUUAGAGUAUUGAUUGGGGACUUAUUUGUGGAUGAAUGUAGCUGUUUUUUUAUGUGAUUUGUGAUGUCUUACUUGUGCUUCCCUUGACUGUAUUUUUGUAUUUUAAUAUGCAUAUAUAUGUAUAUUUUGUGUAUAAUGUAUUUGUGUUGUAUUGUGCAGGACACAUUUGAAAAAGAGACCUAGGUCUCAAUAUGCCUUUCCUGGAAGAAAAAAAAAGUAGAAUAAAAUAAUAUAUACUUUUUCAGAUCCCCUAACAAUACAGUUUGCCGGUCCAUCUGAACCGUGAUGUUAGGACAUAACAAUAAUUCAUGGACCCGAGCCACUGAUGGACAGUACCAGAAAAUAUGCUUUAUUGAUUCUGUUUCCUUGUUGCAGUGCGCAAGUAUGUGGACACCCCUUCAAAUUAGAGGAUUCUGCUAUUUCAGCAAUACUCGUUGCUGACAGGUUUAUAAAAUCGAGCACACAGGAUUCCUCCAUAGCCACACUCCAUAGACAAACAUUGACAUUAGAAUGGCCUUACUGAAGAACUCAGUGACUUUCAUUGUGGCACUGUCGUAGGAUGCCACCUUUCCAACAAGUCACACAGUAAAAAUGACAGAGUGAAUUUAACACUAUUUGAAGAAAACGUAACUCUGCCAAAGAUAACAUUUAUUCCCAGUGAAAAAAGAGUAGAACGUACUCUGGCAUCAGAGUUAUUUUUUCAGACUUGUAUUUGCUCAUUUUAGUGUUGAGAUUUAACUGUGCGUCAUUGCGUUUCACUCUAUACUGUGUUCAUUUAAAAUAACUGUCAUAUUUUUUCCUUUCUGCAGUGUUGUUCAUUAUUCUAGAGUUAAUUAUUGAGAGUAAUGUUUACUCGCACCAGUGUCAUUGUAAAUUUACUCUGACUCAUACUACUAAAUAAAUUGACUCUAAUCAAGUAUAUUACUAGCAUAAAUCAGUCAACACAAAAUAUUGCAUAACAUGAUUUUUUUAUUACAUGAGAUGCCAAAAACAGCCCAAAUUGUACUUGCGUGGUGUACAAUCUUUAAAAUAAAAUAAAGCAUUAAGGACAGUUUGAAUUGAAAACAACACCCCCAACAUGGGCAAUUUCAUAAUUGUUCUUAUAGUGUGUAAAAGCGUGGAAAUAAUAUCACAUGAAGCAGUACGGGACCACAAACAAACUUGAAUCAUCACCUCCAUACGACAUGUCGAAUGCUUUGCGAUACAAAAGAUCUUAAACAUCAUCAACAUGGGGUCCCUUUCUUAACCGUACAACUUUAAAUACAUGAAAAAUUGUGUCAUAUUUUACAAGAAUAGACUUGAUUUUGUGAAAUAUUGGAAUCUCACGAUGAACUUUAAGACAAACAACCAAAUUUGUGAAUUUUGUUAAUUUUUAUUUCACCUUUAUUUAUUAACCAGGUAGGCCAGUUGAGAACAAGUUCUAAUUUACAACUGCGACCUGGCCAAGAUAAAGCAAGGCAGUGCGACACAAACAACAACACAGAGUUACACAUGGAAUAAACAAGUGUACAGUCAAUAACACAAUAGAAAAUUAAAAAAAAAUAAUAAGUCUACAUACAGUGUGUGCAAAUGGCGUGAGGAGGUAAGGCAAUAAAUAGGCCAUAGUAGCGAGGUAAUUACAAUUUAGCAAAUUAACACUGGAGUGAUAGAUUUGCAGAUGACGAUGUGCAAGUAGAAAUACUGGUGUGCAAAAGAGCAACCAAAUCUGAACGGCAUACAUUACGUACUUUUACACUCAAAACCUUAGUGAGCUCCUUCUGUUACAUUCAAGGAGACCAUUUUCCCUCGACCAAUAUCCAAUCUAUCUAGGUCAAAUGUUUGCAAGUUGCCAUUUCACUUUGAUGUUUCUUGGCAAAUGGUUUAGUUAUGUUUUUAGAGUUUUUCGCUUGUUUUUAAAAAAUGUACAUGCUUUGAUUCAUAGCGCAUACACCAGCUAUGGAGAAUUGGCCUUGAUUUUCUAAAUACAUUGUGCAUAAUGCACCAUAAAAUUAUCCUUUGGUAAUAACCUUUUUCCAGGAAACAAAUGCUUAAACAAUCGGUGGUGUUCUGCAAUCACGUGCUUCAAAUAGACUGUAAUACCAGCUGAUAACUCUGGAGAAAAUACAAUGUUGACUAUUUGAAGCAACAAAAGCAGCAAAUGCCAAUGUUGAUCAUUUGAAGACAUCAAAUCACCAAAGAUAAGUGGUAGAACCCUCAAAUAACUUCACUGCAAGGGGUCUGUUGUUUCCUUCCAUAAAACCAUAGCUGAAGCUCUGAAUUCUCAUGUCAAUUUCUGUUGAGGUUAAAUGUUAAUUUUGCAAGAAUUGUAGUAGCAAUUUCACCUCAUAUUGCCCAACACCCUACAAGAUGUCAUGCAUGAUACCAACUCAAAAAUUAUCACAUGAAUUUAACAUGCAAGACUUUUUGACACCCACAUGCAUCUCUUUAGUUCAAUACUAUCUUUGGACGGUCUUCACUGAACUCUGUCUGAAAGUCGUCUUUCUCAGCAAGACAGAAAACGGCAGCAAUAUCUUGCACUAAAAUAUAAAAAAUAUAAAAAUAAACCACGAGUACCACCUGUUACUUGGACAAUAGUUCCAUGAAUUUGGUGGUCAUACAAGAGAAACUUAAUUCCAUCCCUUUCCAAAAUGAUUACAUCUCAUACAAUUGGGUCAAGCAGUGAGUAAAACUCAUAGGUUUUUAUAUCUUGAGCAUGAAAUAGAGAAACCAGGUGAAUAUUGAGCAGCACUUUGAGAGACAUCUCUUAAAGUAAAGUAAAUGGCACCCAAUUUGUGUAGGCCAUGCUUCUAUCCAAGAGGAUUAGAGGUUUCAAAGUCAUCAUAGUAGAGCUGAAAUUUUAUUGCAUGCUUCUCUUUUGAGAGUAGAGCAUGAUUUUCAAAGAUCAAUCACGCCUGUCAUAAAGUGGGACCAUCCAUAGCCUGCAAAAUUUGAUUUAUUUGUGCAUUUUUGUAAAUAACGUCUGCAAAAUGGGUAUGUACAUUAAUUUAUCUGUAACAAUAACUUGGUCAUAUGUAACAAUAACCUGGUUCUGUCACGCCUGCUCCCGCUCCCUGGAGCUCGAAGGCGCCAGACUCCUGCCACCACCAGUAUUCACACCUGCCUUCCCUCCGUCACGCGCAUCAGCAAUUAUUGGACUCACCUGGACUUAAUCACCUGUUUAUUACCUCCAGUAUAUUUGCCAGUUCCACCGCUCUGUUCCCUGCUGCUGACGAUGUUCAUGUCUUGUUACUGAUCUGUUCCGCAUUAAAUGUUCAACUCCCCUUUAUCUGCUUCUCAUCUCCGGCGCCGGUCCUUUCAGGUUCUAUUGCGUUGCAUGUCAAAUCUUGUGAAAAAGAACAUAUUCAACUGGAUCUACAGUUCCCCAUUUCUCUGAGAAAUACUUCAACCUUUUGGUUUCAGAAUUCAAGUAACUGAAAGGAUUUUCAAUUUGCCCAAAACACAUCUAUUUUACACCAAUAUCAUUGUUACACUUCUUCACAGAUUUUUUUGUUUGACUGUGGAUAUCAUCAACUACCUCUUCAUUGGAACUGACUAAAGUGUUCACUGUUGUUUCACCAACUCCUGCUGCUUUGAGUUGAGCUAUUGUUGCGGCACAAUUUUCCACAAUACUCUUAUUAUACAGAGCUGAAUCACAAUGUGAGCUUUGUUACAGAGCUGUUAGCAGCGGUAGAGGGGCCUCCA
RNAcentral lists this long non-coding RNA (8685 nucleotides) under Salmo salar (Atlantic salmon). RNAcentral's name for it is "lncRNA (ENSSSAG00000088156.1)". Lineage: Eukaryota; Metazoa; Chordata; Actinopteri; Salmoniformes; Salmonidae. The record is from RNAcentral.